UAGAUUGAAGCCAGUUGUUAGGGUAUUUAGCUGUUAACUAAAAUUUCGUGAGAUAAAAGCUCACCGAUCUAG
RNAcentral lists this transfer RNA (72 nucleotides) under Chrysocyon brachyurus (maned wolf). Its description in RNAcentral is "tRNA-Asn". It matches the Rfam family "tRNA". Rfam says of the family: Transfer RNA (tRNA) molecules are approximately 80 nucleotides in length. The record is from RNAcentral. Lineage: Eukaryota; Metazoa; Chordata; Mammalia; Carnivora; Canidae.